Molecule: ribosomal RNA, 470 nt
Filed under: uncultured bacterium
Lineage: Bacteria
Description: bacterial SSU rRNA
Rfam family: Bacterial small subunit ribosomal RNA
Source: RNAcentral
AUUGAACGCUGGCGGAAUGCUUUACACAUGCAAGUCGAACGGCAGCACGGGGGCAACCCUGGUGGCGAGUGGCGAACGGGUGAGUAAUACAUCGGAACGUGCCCAAUCGUGGGGGAUAACUACGCGAAAGCGUAGCUAAUACCGCAUACGAUCUACGGAUGAAAGCGGGGGAUCGCAAGACCUCGCGCGAAUGGAGCGGCCGAUGGCAGAUUAGGUAGUUGGUGGGGUAAAGGCUCACCAAGCCGUCGAUCUGUAGCUGGUCUGAGAGGACGACCAGCCACACCUGGGACUGAGACACGGCCCAGACUCCUACGGGAGGCAGCAGUGGGGAAUUUUGGACAAUGGGCGCAAGCCUGAUCCAGCCAUUCCGCGUGCAGGAUGAAGGGCCCUCGGGUUGUAAACUGCUUUUGUUACGGAACGAAAAGGCCUGAGUUAAUACCUCGGGCUCAUGACGGUACGUAAGAAUAAGC